CACAAUCAUUUAUUCUUAUGCAGUUUGGCAGUCAACUGUGUUUCAGUUGACCUAGGAUUAGUUUGGGUGAUUCCUCUUCAGAUUGUGGAUCAAUUACCUCUGCACUAGGCUGUGAUUCGUUUUAUUUUGGGUUCUAGAUUGAAGGGAAUGUGUCUACCUAAGGCACAUGCCUCUCAGAAUAUAAAACCAGAUCGCAAGUCUAGCGACAAGAGAAAUAAUUCCUAAUAUUUCAAAGUCAGCUAAAACUUCAUUUUCCAGUGCCCCCUGGUCUAAUUCAGAAUUUUAAAUCAUCUCUGAUUUUAUCUUCCACCAUCCUCAUAACUUCAUCUUCUCACAGCAUGAGUUUUACCCAGUUAAAACCUACAACAUAUAAUACAUGUACAGGGGCAUAGAGACAAUUAAUUUUUCCUGCUGUUGAAUCAAGACAUUUCCUUGUUCUAUUCAACAACAACUAGUUAGGCUCAAUAAGAUCACCUUACACAGUUCUACCUCACUCAGCUUCUGAGACUCACCUGAUAUCUCAGGUAUGUCUUGAUUAGCAGCAUGAAAACGGACUAAUACACUCUGGCAGCAGAAGGAAGAGUAAAAAGGACUUUGUCUUUCAACAUGGCUACCAGCUCAGGCACAGAACAUAAAAAACCAAGCAGAGUCCUAAAUUCCCCAUUCUAGGCCAUAGCUCCCAGACAAUUCUAGACCCACCCUGGCCAAAAGGGAAUCAACUGCCCUGAAGGUGACAUGAUGUUGAAUUUUGUCAAUAGAGGACUCUGCAGGGGCACUGUGGAUAGAAGGGUCUACUCUUCUUCACUCCAGGACACGUCUCUGGACAUGCUCUUCUAGUCCCUGACAACCAACAGUAUAUCACAGCCAGCAGUGAAAGACUGCCUAAAAUAUAAUCUACUUCUCAGUAGGCAAUUUCUCCCAGUACCUUUGAAGAAAGCUUUUAAGAUAUUUUCUUUAUACAGCAUCUAGGGAAACUUCAUACUCUGGCGGGCCAUAGUUGAGAACCUUCGGCAUCUCAGCCCUUGGCAGCCUUCAACAGGCCACAGCCUUCCACUUGAAAAGGCUGUGCAACCCUAGGAAGGGUCUCUCAGCUUCCCUUCUCACACUCUGACUGACCUCUGCAUGCUACUGCCACCUAUCAAGCAGGCUCAUCAAAAAAUCUGCAAGGGAAUGCAAACUUUGUGGCUGGACUCCCCAGGCCUUCCGAUUGACAUUUAUGAGGACUAUUCCCUCCUCAACCUGUUCCCUGUUGUCAUACAAAAACAAGAGCGUGAGUCCCACUCUGUCACUCAGGAUGUUGUGCAGUGGCAUCAUCCUGACACACUGCACCCUCAGCAUCCCUGACUCAAGCAGUCCUCCUGCCUCAGCCUCCCAAUUAGCUGGGACUACAGAUUCAAGAAAAAAGUGUUUUAGAUGAAUGGCAUGACCCUCAAAACAAGAAGAUGUGCUGCUUAAUUAAUUGUCUGCAAAACAGUGGAAAAAUAGAUGAAAUAAAAGAUGGAAAGCCUCCUUUCUCUCUCUGAUGUUGUAUUCUUUCUGUUCUAUUAAAGUAUGAGAGAAUGAAUAGCCUAUAGAUAAUACUGCUAAAGGGAAAAUUGUCCUCAAAUAAAAUUUACAUUAAACAAUAAAGGUGUGUGGUAAGGAGAAAGACAAUUAUUUUUCUUAAAUAUUCUCUGAUACUUUCCCCAGCAUUCUAUCCUAGACUCUGUU
Molecule: long non-coding RNA, 1710 nt
Organism: Callithrix jacchus (white-tufted-ear marmoset)
Lineage: Eukaryota; Metazoa; Chordata; Mammalia; Primates; Cebidae
Source: RefSeq, a predicted model, not a curated record